UUGUUCUCAUUUUGUUAGCAAAUUCACUAAAACUGAAGCACUACAGAGAAGAUUAGCAUGGCCCUCACACAAGGAUGAUAUGCAAGUUCUGGAAGCAUUCCAUAUUUUU
This is a small nuclear RNA of Meriones unguiculatus (Mongolian gerbil), 109 nucleotides long. Lineage: Eukaryota; Metazoa; Chordata; Mammalia; Rodentia; Muridae. The record is from Ensembl.